This 90-nucleotide non-coding RNA is filed under the name Pteridomonas danica. The record is from RNAcentral. Lineage: Eukaryota; Dictyochophyceae; Pedinellales.
AAAAAAAAGAAAAGACAAGAAAGGCUACAAGAAAGAUUCAAAAAAACAAAAGGUUUCUCUAUUUCUAUUUGCUUUUCUUUUGUUGCUUUU